This 2908-nucleotide ribosomal RNA is filed under the name Campylobacter coli. RNAcentral's name for it is "23S ribosomal RNA". It matches the Rfam family "Bacterial large subunit ribosomal RNA". Lineage: Bacteria; Pseudomonadati; Campylobacterota; Epsilonproteobacteria; Campylobacterales; Campylobacteraceae. The record is from RNAcentral.
AGGUAAGCUACUAAGAGCGAAUGGUGGAUGCCUUGACUGGUAAAGGCGAUGAAGGACGUACUAGACUGCGAUAAGCUACGGGGAGCUGUCAAGAAGCUUUGAUCCGUAGAUUUCCGAAUGGGGCAACCCAAUGUAUAGAGAUAUACAUUACCUAUAUAGGAGCGAACGAGGGGAAUUGAAACAUCUUAGUACCCUCAGGAAAAGAAAUCAAUAGAGAUUGCGUCAGUAGCGGCGAGCGAAAGCGUAAGAGGGCAAACCCAGUGCUUGCACUGGGGGUUGUAGGACUGCAAUGUGCAAGAGGUGAGUUUAGCAGAACAUUCUGGAAAGUAUAGCCAUAGAGGGUGAUAGUCCCGUAUGCGAAAAACAAACCUUAGCUAGCAGUAUCCUGAGUAGGGCGGGACACGAGAAAUCCUGUCUGAAGCUGGGUCGACCACGAUCCAACCCUAAAUACUAAUACCAGAUCGAUAGUGCACAAGUACCGUGAGGGAAAGGUGAAAAGAACUGAGGUGAUCAGAGUGAAAUAGAACCUGAAACCAUUUGCUUACAAUCAUUCAGAGCACUAUGUAGCAAUACAGUGUGAUGGACUGCCUUUUGCAUAAUGAGCCUGCGAGUUGUGGUGUCUGGCAAGGUUAAGCAAACGCGAAGCCGUAGCGAAAGCGAGUCUGAAUAGGGCGCUUAGUCAGAUGCUGCAGACCCGAAACGAAGUGAUCUAUCCAUGAGCAAGUUGAAGCUAGUGUAAGAACUAGUGGAGGACUGAACCCAUAGGCGUUGAAAAGCCCCGGGAUGACUUGUGGAUAGGGGUGAAAGGCCAAUCAAACUUCGUGAUAGCUGGUUCUCUCCGAAAUAUAUUUAGGUAUAGCGUUGUGUCGUAAUAUAAGGGGGUAGAGCACUGAAUGGGCUAGGGCAUACACCAAUGUACCAAACCCUAUCAAACUCCGAAUACCUUAUAUGUAAUCACAGCAGUCAGGCGGCGAGUGAUAAAAUCCGUCGUCAAGAGGGAAACAACCCAGACUACCAGCUAAGGUCCCUAAAUCUUACUUAAGUGGAAAACGAUGUGAAGUUACUUAAACAACCAGGAGGUUGGCUUAGAAGCAGCCAUCCUUUAAAGAAAGCGUAAUAGCUCACUGGUCUAGUGAUUUUGCGCGGAAAAUAUAACGGGGCUAAAGUAAGUACCGAAGCUGUAGACUUGAUUUUAUCAAGUGGUAGGAGAGCGUUCUAUUUGCGUCGAAGGUAUACCGGUAAGGAGUGCUGGAGCGAAUAGAAGUGAGCAUGCAGGCAUGAGUAGCGAUAAUUAAUGUGAGAAUCAUUAACGCCGUAAACCCAAGGUUUCCUACGCGAUGCUCGUCAUCGUAGGGUUAGUCGGGUCCUAAGUCGAGUCCGAAAGGGGUAGACGAUGGCAAAUUGGUUAAUAUUCCAAUACCAACAUUAGUGUGCGAUGGAAGGACGCUUAGGGCUAAGGGGGCUAGCGGAUGGAAGUGCUAGUCUAAGGUCGUAGGAGGUUAUACAGGCAAAUCCGUAUAACAAUACUCCGAGAACUGAAAGGCUUUUUGAAGUCUUCGGAUGGAUAGAAGAACCCCUGAUGCCAUCGAGCCAAGAAAAGUUUCUAAGUUUAGCUAAUGUUGCCCGUACCGUAAACCGACACAGGUGGGUGGGAUGAGUAUUCUAAGGCGCGUGGAAGAACUCUCUUUAAGGAACUCUGCAAAAUAGCACCGUAUCUUCGGUAUAAGGUGUGGUUCGCUUCGUAUUAGGAUUUACUCCGAAAGCGAAGAAACUUACAACAAAGAGUCCCUCCCGACUGUUUACCAAAAACACAGCACUCUGCUAACUCGUAAGAGGAUGUAUAGGGUGUGACGCCUGCCCGGUGCUCGAAGGUUAAUUGAUGGGGUUAGCAUUAGCGAAGCUCUUGAUCGAAGCCCGAGUAAACGGCGGCCGUAACUAUAACGGUCCUAAGGUAGCGAAAUUCCUUGUCGGUUAAAUACCGACCUGCAUGAAUGGCGUAACGAGAUGGGAGCUGUCUCAAAGAGGGAUCCAGUGAAAUUGUAGUGGAGGUGAAAAUUCCUCCUACCCGCGGCAAGACGGAGAGACCCCGUGGACCUUUACUACAGCUUGACACUGCUAUUUGGAUAAGAAUGUGCAGGAUAGGUGGGAGGCUUUGAGUAUAUGACGCCAGUUGUAUAUGAGCCAUUGUUGAGAUACCACUCUUUCUUAUUUGGGUAGCUAACCAGCUUGAGUUAUCCUCAAGUGGGACAAUGUCUGGUGGGUAGUUUGACUGGGGCGGUCGCCUCCCAAAUAAUAACGGAGGCUUACAAAGGUUGGCUCAGAACGGUUGGAAAUCGUUCGUAGAGUAUAAAGGUAUAAGCCAGCUUAACUGCAAGACAUACAAGUCAAGCAGAGACGAAAGUCGGUCUUAGUGAUCCGGUGGUUCUGUGUGGAAGGGCCAUCGCUCAAAGGAUAAAAGGUACCCCGGGGAUAACAGGCUGAUCUCCCCCAAGAGCUCACAUCGACGGGGAGGUUUGGCACCUCGAUGUCGGCUCAUCGCAUCCUGGGGCUGGAGCAGGUCCCAAGGGUAUGGCUGUUCGCCAUUUAAAGCGGUACGCGAGCUGGGUUCAGAACGUCGUGAGACAGUUCGGUCCCUAUCUGCCGUGGGCGUAAGAAGAUUGAGGAGAUUUGACCCUAGUACGAGAGGACCGGGUUGAACAAACCACUGGUGUAGCUGUUGUUCUGCCAAGAGCAUCGCAGCGUAGCUAAGUUUGGAAAGGAUAAACGCUGAAAGCAUCUAAGCGUGAAGCCAACUCUAAGAUGAAUCUUCUCUAAGCUCUCUAGAAGACUACUAGUUUGAUAGGCUGGGUGUGUAAUGGAUGAAAGUCCUUUAGCUGACCAGUACUAAUAGAGCGUUUGGCUUAUCUUU